Molecule: ribosomal RNA, 432 nt
Filed under: uncultured Leisingera sp.
Lineage: Bacteria; Pseudomonadati; Pseudomonadota; Alphaproteobacteria; Rhodobacterales; Roseobacteraceae
Description: bacterial SSU rRNA
Rfam family: Bacterial small subunit ribosomal RNA
Source: RNAcentral
GAGCGGAAACGAUGGGAGCUUGCUCCCAGGCGUCGAGCGGCGGACGAGUACGCGUGGAACGUGCCCUUCUCUACGGAAUAGCCUCUGGAAACGGAGAGUAAUACCGUAUACGCCCUUUGGGGGAAAGAUUUAUCGGAGAAGGAUCGGCCCGCGUUAGAUUAGGUAGUUGGUGGGGUAACGGCCUACCAAGCCUACGAUCUAUAGCUGGUUUUAGAGGAUGAUCAGCAACACUGGGACUGAGACACGGCCCAGACUCCUACGGGAGGCAGCAGUGGGGAAUCUUAGACAAUGGGGGCAACCCUGAUCUAGCCAUGCCGCGUGAGUGAUGAAGGCCUUAGGGUCGUAAAACUCUUUCGCCUGUGAUGAUAAUGACCGUAGCAGGUAAAGAAACCCCGGCUAACUCCGUGCCAGCAGCCGCGGUAUUACGGAGGG